RNAcentral lists this unclassified non-coding RNA (257 nucleotides) under Hevea brasiliensis (rubber tree). Lineage: Eukaryota; Viridiplantae; Streptophyta; Magnoliopsida; Malpighiales; Euphorbiaceae. The record is from RNAcentral.
GUUUGGGAUCAUUUUUGUGCACUGCACACUGUGCAACCAAUGGGACCGACUUAUUUGCUCUUUUAAGGGUUUAAGGCUUUUCACCGAAUUACUAAUACUGGCACCAAAAUAGCUUCUGUAGAGGCAUUCUUGUGUUCACACUGCAAUGGGAGCUGCAGCGCCUUGAAUUUUAGGGUAUGAAACUAAGGGCACAUUGGGAUUGACUGUAGUUUCAGCUCACUAGGUUGAUAUUAUAAGGGUCUGCAUCUGAUGGCCCA